Molecule: ribosomal RNA, 1529 nt
Filed under: Salmonella enterica subsp. enterica serovar Enteritidis
Lineage: Bacteria; Pseudomonadati; Pseudomonadota; Gammaproteobacteria; Enterobacterales; Enterobacteriaceae
Description: partial 23S ribosomal RNA
Rfam family: Bacterial large subunit ribosomal RNA
Source: RNAcentral
GGGUUGUGAGGUUAAGCGACUAAGCGUACACGGUGGAUGCCCUGGCAGUCAGAGGCGAUGAAGGGCGUGCUAAUCUGCGAUAAGCGCCGGUAAGGUGAUAUGAACCGUUAUAACCGGCGAUACCCGAAUGGGGAAACCCAGUGUGACUCGUCACACUAUCAUUAACUGAAUCCAUAGGUUAAUGAGGCGAACCGGGGGAACUGAAACAUCUAAGUACCCCGAGGAAAAGAAAUCAACCGAGAUUCCCCCAGUAGCGGCGAGCGAACGGGGAGGAGCCCAGAGCCUGAAUCAGCAUGUGUGUUAGUGGAAGCGUCUGGAAAGGCGCGCGAUACAGGGUGACAGCCCCGUACACAAAAGCGCAUGUGCUGUGAGCUCGAUGAGUAGGGCGGGACACGUGGUAUCCUGUCUGAAUAUGGGGGGACCAUCCUCCAAGGCUAAAUACUCCUGACUGACCGAUAGUGAACCAGUACCGUGAGGGAAAGGCGAAAAGAACCCCGGCGAGGGGAGUGAAAAAGAACCUGAAACCGUGUACGUACAAGCAGUGGGAGCACCCUUUGGGUGUGACUGCGUACCUUUUGUAUAAUGGGUCAGCGACUUAUAUUCUGUAGCAAGGUUAACCGAAUAGGGGAGCCGGAGGGAAACCGAGUCUUAACCGGGCGUUAAGUUGCAGGGUAUAGACCCGAAACCCGGUGAUCUAGCCAUGGGCAGGUUGAAGGUUGGGUAACACUAACUGGAGGACCGAACCGACUAAUGUUGAAAAAUUAGCGGAUGACCUGUGGCUGGGGGUGAAAGGCCAAUCAAACCGGGAGAUAGCUGGUUCUCCCCGAAAGCUAUUUAGGUAGCGCCUCGUGAAUUCAUCUCCGGGGGUAGAGCACUGUUUCGGCUAGGGGGCCAUCCCGGCUUACCAACCCGAUGCAAACUGCGAAUACCGGAGAAUGUUAUCACGGGAGACACACGGCGGGUGCUAACGUCCGUCGUGAAGAGGGAAACAACCCAGACCGCCAGCUAAGGUCCCAAAGUCAUGGUUAAGUGGGAAACGAUGUGGGAAGGCCCAGACAGCCAGGAUGUUGGCUUAGAAGCAGCCAUCAUUUAAAGAAAGCGUAAUAGCUCACUGGUCGAGUCGGCCUGCGCGGAAGAUGUAACGGGGCUAAACCAUGCACCGAAGCUGCGGCAGCGACACUGUGUGUUGUUGGGUAGGGGAGCGUUCUGUAAGCCUGCGAAGGUGGCCUGUGAGGGUUGCUGGAGGUAUCAGAAGUGCGAAUGCUGACAUAAGUAACGAUAAAGCGGGUGAAAAGCCCGCUCGCCGGAAGACCAAGGGUUCCUGUCCAACGUUAAUCGGGGCAGGGUGAGUCGACCCCUAAGGCGAGGCCGAAAGGCGUAGUCGAUGGGAAACGGGUUAAUAUUCCCGUACUUGGUGUUACUGCGAAGGGGGGACGGAGAAGGCUAUGUUGGCCGGGCGACGGUUGUCCCGGUUUAAGCGUGUAGGCUGGUUUUCCAGGCAAAUCCGGAAAAUCAAGGCUGAGGCGUGA